GUUGUAUGGUUAAGUGACUAAGCGUACACGGUGGAUGCCUAGGCAGUUGGAGGCGAUGAAGGACGUACUAACUUGCGAUAAGCCAUGAUAAGCCAGUAAGAGGCAUUUGAAUCAUGGAUUUCCGAAUGGGGAAACCCACUGAGCUUGCUCAGUAUCGUUAACUGAAUUCAUAGGUUAACGAAGCGAACCCGGAGAACUGAAACAUCUAAGUACCCGGAGGAAAAGAAAUCAAUUGAGAUUCCGUUAGUAGCGGCGAGCGAACGCGGAUCAGCCCUUAAGCUCAUUAAGGUUUAGUGGAAGGCUCUGGAAAGUGCCGCGAUACAGGGUGAUAGCCCCGUACACGAAGAACCUUAGUAAGUGAAAACGAGUAGGUCGGGACACGUGUUAUCUUGACUGAAUAUGGGGGGACCAUCCUCCAAGGCUAAAUACUCCCAACUGACCGAUAGUGAACCAGUACCGUGAGGGAAAGGCGAAAAGAACCCCUGUGAGGGGAGUGAAAUAGAACCUGAAACCGUGUACGUACAAGCAGUAGGAGCACCUUCGUGGUGUGACUGCGUACCUUUUGUAUAAUGGGUCAGCGACUUACAUUUUGUAGCGAGGUUAACCGUAUAGGGUAGCCGUAGGGAAACCGAGUCUUAACUGGGCGUCGAGUUGCAAGGUGUAGACCCGAAACCGGGCGAUCUAUCCAUGGGCAGGUUGAAGGUUGAGUAACAUCAACUGGAGGACCGAACUCACUAAUGUUGAAAAAUUAGGAGAUGACCUGUGGCUAGGAGUGAAAGGCUAAUCAAGCCCGGAGAUAGCUGGUUCUCCCCGAAAUCUAUUUAGGUAGAGCCUCGGAUGAAUACCACUGGGGGUAGAGCACUGUUUGGGCUAGGGGGUCAUCCCGACUUACCAACCCCAUGCAAACUCCGAAUACCAGUGAGUACUAUCCGGGAGACACACGGCGGGUGCUAACGUUCGUCGUGGAGAGGGAAACAACCCAGACCGCCAGCUAAGGUCCCCAAGUCAUGGUUAAGUGGGAAACGAUGUGGGAAGGCACAGACAGCUAGGAGGUUGGCUUAGAAGCAGCCAUCCUUUAAAGAAAGCGUAAUAGCUCACUAGUCGAGUCGGCCUGCGCGGAAGAUGUAACGGGGCUAAACCAUGCACCGAAGCUGCGGAUGUAUCCGCAUCACCAAAGACUAUUCGCUUACGUUCACGCAGUGAACGAAAGCGUCCCCUGAAAUAGUCAGGGAGCACACUGGUUAAUUAGACCACUGAGCGAGUAGGUUUUGGGAUGCGGAUACGUGGUAGGGGAGCGUUGUGUAAGCCGUUGAAGGUGAAUCGAGAGGUUUGCUGGAGGUAUCACAAGUGCGAAUGCUGACAUGAGUAACGAUAAGGGGAGUGAAAAACUCCCCCGCCGGAAGACCAAGGGUUCCUAUCCCAUGCUAAUCAGGGUAGGGUAAGUCGGCCCCUAAGGCGAGGCGGAAACGCGUAGUCGAUGGGAAACGGGUUAAUAUUCCCGUACUGCUGCAUACUGCGAUGGGGUGACGGAGAAGGCUAGGCAAGCGCGGCGUUGGUAGUCCGCGUGAAAGUGAGUAGGUUGGGCGUUUAGGUAAAUCCGGAUGCCCGUUAAGACUGAGACACGAGACGAGACUCUAAGGAGUCGAAGUUGUUGAUGCCAUACUUCCAGGAAAACCCUCUAAGCUUCAGGUAUGCAGAACCGUACCCGAAACCGACACAGGUGGUCAGGUAGAGAAUACUAAGGCGCUUGAGAGAACUCGGGUGAAGGAACUAGGCAAAAUAGUACCGUAACUUCGGGAGAAGGUACGCCACUGUUGGUGACGAGCUUCGCGCUCAGAGCUGAUAGUGGUCGCAGUGACCAGGUGGCUGGGACUGUUUAUUAAAAACACAGCACUCUGCUAAAACGAAAGUUGACGUAUAGGGUGUGACACCUGCCCGGUGCCGGAAGGUUAAUUGAUGGGGUUAUCUUCGGAGAAGCUCUUGAUCGAAGCCCCGGUAAACGGCGGCCGUAACUAUAACGGUCCUAAGGUAGCGAAAUUCCUUGUCGGGUAAGUUCCGACCUGCACGAAUGGUGUAACCAUGGCCACGCUGUCUCCACCCGAGACUCAGUGAAAUUGAAAUCGCAGUGAAGAUGCUGUGUACCCGCGGCUAGACGGAAAGACCCCGUGAACCUUUACUACAGCUUGGCACUGAACAUUGAACCUACAUGUGUAGGAUAGGUGGGAGGCUUUGAAGCAUUGGCGCUAGUUGAUGUGGAGCCAUCCUUGAAAUACCACCCUUGUACGUUUGAUGUUCUAACGUUGGUCCCUUAUCGGGAUUGCGGACAGUGCCUGGUGGGUAGUUUGACUGGGGCGGUCUCCUCCCAAAGAGUAACGGAGGAGCACGAAGGUUGGCUAAGUACGGUCGGACAUCGUACGGUUAGUGCAAUGGCAUAAGCCAGCUUAACUGCGAGACAGACACGUCGAGCAGGUGCGAAAGCAGGUCAUAGUGAUCCGGUGGUUCUGAAUGGAAGGGCCAUCGCUCAACGGAUAAAAGGUACUCCGGGGAUAACAGGCUGAUACCGCCCAAGAGUUCAUAUCGACGGCGGUGUUUGGCACCUCGAUGUCGGCUCAUCACAUCCUGGGGCUGAAGUCGGUCCCAAGGGUAUGGCUGUUCGCCAUUUAAAGUGGUACGCGAGCUGGGUUUAGAACGUCGUGAGACAGUUCGGUCCCUAUCUGCCGUGGGCGUUUGAGAAUUGAAAGGGGUUGCUCCUAGUACGAGAGGACCGGAGUGAACGAACCGCUGGUGUUCGGGUUGUCAUGCCAAUGGCACUGCCCGGUAGCUACGUUCGGAAUCGAUAACCGCUGAAAGCAUCUAAGCGGGAAGCGAGCCUUGAGAUGAGUUCUCACUGGAGUGUAAUCUCCCUAAAGGGUUGUUGAAGACUACGACGUUGAUAGGCAGGGUGUGGAAGCGCAGUAAUGUGUUGAGCUAACCUGUACUAAUUGCCCGUGAGGCUUAACCAUACAACACCAAAG
RNAcentral lists this ribosomal RNA (3014 nucleotides) under Aliidiomarina sedimenti. RNAcentral's name for it is "23S ribosomal RNA". It matches the Rfam family "Bacterial large subunit ribosomal RNA". Lineage: Bacteria; Pseudomonadati; Pseudomonadota; Gammaproteobacteria; Alteromonadales; Idiomarinaceae. The record is from RNAcentral.